ACUAAUUUGACUCCACACAUAUCCUACAGAUAAACACUGUCCUGUUACCCACUUUACAGAUGGAUGGAAAAUAUCUAACAAGAUCUGCAGAGCAAGUUGAACUAAGUGAAGUUGAAAGGAGUCAUUGAUCUUCUCAAGACUGACUAAG
This 148-nucleotide long non-coding RNA is filed under the name Cavia porcellus (domestic guinea pig). RNAcentral describes it as "lncRNA (ENSCPOG00000034086.1)". Lineage: Eukaryota; Metazoa; Chordata; Mammalia; Rodentia; Caviidae. The record is from RNAcentral.